GGGCGAUUAGUUAAGUGGCAUAACGUUCGUCUCCAAAACGAACAUCGGGGGUCCGAUUCCCUCAUCGCCCG
This 71-nucleotide transfer RNA is filed under the name Candidatus Zambryskiibacteriota bacterium. RNAcentral's name for it is "Candidatus Zambryskibacteria bacterium tRNA-Trp". It matches the Rfam family "tRNA". From Rfam's summary of the family: Transfer RNA (tRNA) molecules are approximately 80 nucleotides in length. Their secondary structure includes four short double-helical elements and three loops (D, anti-codon, and T loops). Further hydrogen bonds mediate the characteristic L-shaped molecular structure. tRNAs have two regions of fundamental functional importance: the anti-codon, which is responsible for specific mRNA codon recognition, and the 3' end, to which the tRNAs corresponding amino acid is attached (by aminoacyl-tRNA synthetases). tRNAs cope with the degeneracy of the genetic code in two manners: having more than one tRNA (with a specific anti-codon) for a particular amino acid; and 'wobble' base-pairing, i.e. permitting non-standard base-pairing at the 3rd anti-codon position. The record is from RNAcentral. Lineage: Bacteria; Candidatus Zambryskiibacteriota.